Molecule: ribosomal RNA, 357 nt
Filed under: Clavispora lusitaniae
Lineage: Eukaryota; Fungi; Ascomycota; Pichiomycetes; Serinales; Metschnikowiaceae
Description: eukaryotic LSU rRNA
Rfam family: 5.8S ribosomal RNA (bases 73-222)
Source: RNAcentral
UAAAUAACUUUACAUUUGUUUUUGCGACAAAAAAAUAGAAUCAUUACAUCAUUCUAAUUUACUUAAUAUCAAAACUUUCAACAACGGAUCUCUUGGUUCUCGCAUCGAUGAAGAACGCAGCGAAUUGCGAUACGUAGUAUGACUUGCAGACGUGAAUCAUCGAAUCUUUGAACGCACAUUGCGCCUCGAGGCAUUCCUCGAGGCAUGCCUGUUUGAGCGUCGCAUCCCCUCUAACCCCCGGUUAGGCGUUGCUCCGAAAUAUCAACCGCGCUGUCAAACACGUUUACAGCACGACAUUUCGCCCUCAAAUCAGGUAGGACUACCCGCUGAACUUAAGCAUAUCAAUAAGCGGAGGAA